AUUGAACGCUGGCGGCAGGCCUAACACAUGCAAGUCGAGCGGAUGAAGGGAGCUUGCUCCUGGAUUCAGCGGCGGACGGGUGAGUAAUGCCUAGGAAUCUGCCUGGUAGUGGGGGAUAACGUCCGGAAACGGGCGCUAAUACUGCAUACGUCCUGAGGGAGAAAGUGGGGGAUCUUCGGACCUCACGCUAUCAGAUGAGCCUAGGUCGGAUUAGCUAGUUGGUGGGGUAAAGGCCUACCAAGGCGACGAUCCGUAACUGGUCUGAGAGGAUGAUCAGUCACACUGGAACUGAGACACGGUCCAGACUCCUACGGUAGGCAGCAGUGGGGAAUAUUGGACAAUGGGCGAAAACCUGAUCCAGCCAUGCCGCGUGUGUGAAGAAGGUCUUCGGAUUGUAAAGCACUUUAAGUUGGGAGGAAGGGCAGUAAGUUAAUACCUUGCUGUUUUGACGUUACCAACAGAAUAAGCACCGGCUAACUUCGUG
RNAcentral lists this ribosomal RNA (484 nucleotides) under uncultured bacterium. Its description in RNAcentral is "partial 16S ribosomal RNA". It matches the Rfam family "Bacterial small subunit ribosomal RNA", at positions 30 to 507 of the family's 1533-position model. The record is from RNAcentral.